This 23-nucleotide ribosomal RNA is filed under the name Isabellaria clandestina subsuturalis. RNAcentral's name for it is "partial 5.8S ribosomal RNA". Lineage: Eukaryota; Metazoa; Mollusca; Gastropoda; Stylommatophora; Clausiliidae. RNAcentral also lists the same sequence under 7 other names. The record is from RNAcentral.
GCCACGCCCGUCUGAGGGUCGGC